Molecule: ribosomal RNA, 493 nt
Filed under: uncultured bacterium
Lineage: Bacteria
Description: partial 16S ribosomal RNA
Rfam family: Bacterial small subunit ribosomal RNA
Source: RNAcentral
AGUGAACGCUGGCGGUAGGCCUAACACAUGCAAGUCGAACGGCAGCACAGUAAGAGCUUGCUCUUACGGGUGGCGAGUGGCGGACGGGUGAGGAAUACAUCGGAAUCUACUUUUUCGUGGGGGAUAACGUAGGGAAACUUACGCUAAUACCGCAUACGACCUACGGGUGAAAGCAGGGGAUCUUCGGACCUUGCGCGAUUGAAUGAGCCGAUGUCGGAUUAGCUAGUUGGCGGGGUAAAGGCCCACCAAGGCGACGAUCCGUAGGUGGUCUGAGAGGAUGAUCAGCCACACUGGAACUGGGACACGGUCCAGACUCCUACGGGAGGCAGCAGUGGGGAAUAUUGGACAAUGGGCGCAAGCCUGAUCCAGCCAUACCGCGUGGGGGAAGAAGGCCUUCGGGUUGUAAAGCCCUUUUGUUGGGAAAGAAAAGCAGCAGGUUAAUACCCCGCUGUUCUGACGGUACCCAAAGAAUAAGCACCGGCUAACUUCGUGC